GACGAACGCUGGCGGCGUGCCUAAUACAUGCAAGUAGAACGCUGAAGAGAGGAGCUUGCUCUUCUUGGAUGAGUUGCGAACGGGUGAGUAACGCGUAGGUAACCUGCCUUGUAGCGGGGGAUAACUAUUGGAAACGAUAGCUAAUACCGCAUAACAAUGGAUGACACAUGUCAUUUAUUUGAAAGGGGCAAUUGCUCCACUACAAGAUGGACCUGCGUUGUAUUAGCUAGUAGGUGAGGUAAUGGCUCACCUAGGCGACGAUACAUAGCCGACCUGAGAGGGUGGUCGGCCACACUGGGACGGAGACACGGCCCAGAGGCCUACGGGAGGGAGCAGUAGGGAACCGUCGGCAAUGGGGGCAAACCUGACCGAGUAACGCCGAGUGAGUGAAGAAGGUGUUCGGAUCGGAAAGAUCUGUUGUAAGUUAAGAACGGGUGUGAGAGUGGAAAGUUCACACUGUGACGGUAGCUUAACAGAAAGGGACGGCUAACUACGUG
This 497-nucleotide ribosomal RNA is filed under the name uncultured bacterium. RNAcentral's name for it is "partial 16S ribosomal RNA". It matches the Rfam family "Bacterial small subunit ribosomal RNA", at positions 28 to 507 of the family's 1533-position model. The record is from RNAcentral.